This 653-nucleotide ribosomal RNA is filed under the name Venturia sp. NHM723892. Its description in RNAcentral is "eukaryotic LSU rRNA". It matches the Rfam family "Eukaryotic large subunit ribosomal RNA", at positions 420 to 827 of the family's 3401-position model. Lineage: Eukaryota; Metazoa; Arthropoda; Insecta; Hymenoptera; Ichneumonidae. The record is from RNAcentral.
CCUGAGAAACCCAAAAGUUCGAAUGGAGAGAUUCAUCGUCAGCGAUCCUGGCAAUUGUGCGGUUCGCGAUGUCGGGGGCUUCGGUUCCGUGGCACGCGUCCGUAUGAUUUUUUUGCCGGGUGUCGUCGUCGUGCACUUCUCCCCUAGUAGGACGUCGCGACCCGUUGGGUGUCGGUCUACGACUCGGGUGGGAGCCUGUCAUGUGUUACGCCUCACGGCGUCAUGUGCAGACCCCCGGUUGUCCGACCAGCUGCCCGGCGGUACUCGCACGGUAUCGAGUCGCAAUUUGAACUGCGUCCGGCCCGCCGCAAGCGAGGCCAGUGUUUCCCGGAUGUACGGACUUGGCGCCGUCACCGGGCCUGGCCAGCUGUUGGCCGGCGGUGUCCUGGGACUGGCUCUAAAUACCGGUCGGCGACGCUACUGCUUUGGGUACUUUCAGGACCCGUCUUGAAACACGGACCAAGGAGUCUAACAUGUGCGCGAGUCAUUGGGAUCUGUUAAGCCUAAAGGCGCAAUGAAAGUGAAGGUAGGCCUUGCGCCAACCGAGGGAGGAUGGGUCGCGUCACGAUGCGGUCCCGCACUCCCGGGGCGUCUCGUUCUCAUUGCGAGAAGAGGCGCACCCAGAGCGUACACGUUGGGACCCGAAAGAUGUG